RNAcentral lists this ribosomal RNA (468 nucleotides) under uncultured bacterium. Its description in RNAcentral is "partial 16S ribosomal RNA". It matches the Rfam family "Bacterial small subunit ribosomal RNA", at positions 28 to 507 of the family's 1533-position model. The record is from RNAcentral.
GACGAACGCUGGCGGCGUGCUUAACACAUGCAAGUCGAACGGAAAGGCCCUGCUUUUGUGGGGUGCUCGAGUGGCGAACGGGUGAGUAACACGUGAGUAACCUGCCCUUGACUUUGGGAUAACUUCAGGAAACUGGGGCUAAUACCGGAUAGGAGCUCCUGCUGCAUGGUGGGGGUUGGAAAGUUUCGGCGGUUGGGGAUGGACUCGCGGCUUAUCAGCUUGUUGGUGGGGUAGUGGCUUACCAAGGCUUUGACGGGUAGCCGGCCUGAGAGGGUGACCGGCCACAAUGGGACUGAGAUACGGCCCAGACGCCUACGGGAGGCAGCAGUGGGGAACAUUGCAGAAUGGGCGGAAGCCUGAUGCAGCAACGCCGCGUGCGGGAUGACGGCCUUCGGGUUGUAAACCGCUUUCGCCGGUGACGAAGCGUGAGUGACGGUAAUGGGUAAAGAAGCACCGGCUAACUACGUG